GUCUAUGGCCAUGCCACCCUGAACUAGCCUGAUCUCGUCUGAUCUCGAAGCUAACAAGGUCAUGCCUGAUUAGUACUUGGAUGGGAAACCACCUAGGAAGACCAGGUACUGUAGGCA
This 117-nucleotide ribosomal RNA is filed under the name Pteropus alecto (black flying fox). The record is from RNAcentral. Lineage: Eukaryota; Metazoa; Chordata; Mammalia; Chiroptera; Pteropodidae.